UGCCUAAAGUGGGCUCGGAGCCUUAAAUUUGGGCGGCUGGGAAGGGUGUGUGGUACUGUAUUGCCUCCUGUCCUGCCUGGACCUGUAGUUACUUCAGCACCUGUCCAGAUCCUGAGGGAAUGUAAUUCUGGCCAUCACCUCUGAGCUCGCUCUUUGCACACAGAGGAGGAGGAGGAGGAGGAGAGAGGCUGUACCUUCGUGGGCAUUCAAAAUGGAGUGAAAUGAUGGAAAUGUUCAAUCAGAGUUGUUAACAAAACUUGGUGUGAGCGAGUCAGAGAGCUAAUACAGCUGGGAGUAAAUCCUUGGUGCAGGAAGAUGACUUCUGAGGAUGUCUUCACUGCAAAGGUUUUUUUUUCUCUAAGGCAUUUUGAAACAGAUGAACUUAACUGUGGACUGCAAAACGCUACACGAUCUCUCAACAAGACCACCUGUAAAAAAAAGUUUUGGGAGUUGACAGUCCAGGGAGGUGAGUCCACAUGAUGGUGACUGGCUUCUGGGGACAGAAGAAAAGAACACUUCUAAAACCCACUAAUACACAGGCAGCGUGGAGGAGAAAAUGAAAGACAAGCCAGAGCAACUCCAGAUUUUCUAGAAGAAAGCAUCAUAAAAACAGGUUGCAAUUUCUAACCAUCGCACUGAACUCUACCCAUACAGGAUUCUACUGAAUUUGAUGGUAGGGACCUGUGGCUGCAAGUAUAAAAUUGGAAAUAAGCCUGUACAGUAGGAACUACAGCACGUUGAGUUACAUCUAUGCUCUGUGAUCAGAGUAACUCCAGUAACUCACAGUAACUCCAUGUUGAAGACCGGCCACCUUCAAAGGACACAAGAACAAAAUUCUAAAAGCAAGUCUCACCUUAAGAGCUGCUGCAUGAUGGGACAUGGUCCUGCCUACCCGCUUGUCACUGCUGUACUGCUGUAUGUCUGCUAUCCACUCCUCACACUGAGCCAUGAUCUCCACUCUUUUCAAGUAAAAAUGUUUGUGGAUGACCUGCAAGAAAAGAUUCAGGAUGAAAGAACAUAAUGUUGUUAUCUAAGAACCAUAUACUUCAACAGUACAAAACCUGCAAGACCAAUCAUGAACCCAAAUUGACGUAAGGAGAAAAAACAAAACACUAUGGGGAUAAUUCAGCAUUGAACCAAGAGGUGGAGGUUGGCCUCUAUAUAGUUUAAAAAGCAAACAAAACACCAACAAAUCACACAAAGUUGUGAAAUUCUUCGUGUUGGCUUUGUCUUAACAGCUUUCUAGAACUCUGCCUGUUGGAAGAAACAAUAAAAUUAAAUAAAUUUUAUUGAGCACAGAGGGUUCUUUCCAAUAUUGUAACAUAAUUGACAAAAUCAUCUCUCUCUCUAGAGGUUAGAGAAUGUAGCUAUUUGUCUAAAGAAAACUUGCAUAUUGAAAGCACAAUAGACUUCAAUUCUGGAUGCAUUCCUUGUAUCCUUAAUGGAGUUUGGAAGAACUCCCACAGACUGGCACUUUAGAUCCCCCGAGCCUACUUGUCAUUUAAGACACCAAAGGGAAAACAGCUCAGAUUUAUGAAGGCAAAAGGUAGUAAGAGCUGAAGGAUGCAAAUUCUUUCUGAGACCUAAGCUUCUGGGAUGCCUUUGCAUUUGUAUUACUGAAUGAUUAUCCAAUUGGUAAGGUUCCUAGCACAACCCUACAAAAAAAAUGGAGAUCUUAACAGCAAGCUAGUCUUAGAUAAAAAUACUCAAGAGUCAUAUUUUCAUUUGGGUGCAAAUUCAGCUACUGCAUCAGAAAAAAAAAAAAAGUAAUAUUUUCCAAUGCACAAUUUCCCUCCCCCCUUUUUUCAAUAAAAAUAAAUGCUACUUUUCAUAAUGAUAAGGAAUACACAUUCACAGAAGCAUUAUUGGAAUUCUCAUGAGUUGAUAAAGCACUAGGUCAGACUCCAUGCUUAAGCUAGCAUGACUGUGUUUUUUAACACAAAAGCAAGCUAUCUUAGCCUUGAACUUUUCCUCAUAUAAGUUAUCAUAGCUUCACGUUUCUUCUCGCAAUCUUGAGGAUUUCACCACACUAUCCUAAAGAAAUGUGCCUAAAAGCACCUGGAGAAAAAAAAUAUUUAACUGCUGGCAUGCAGGUUAAAUGUUUGUUUUCUCAUGCCAUAAGACACGGUAGUUUAAAUGGAAAUUUUUUUUUUGCAUCCCAAAGGAUUUUUUUUUUUUUUAAAAUCAACAGCAAGAAAGAGACAGGGGACUGUUUUCUUACUCAGAUAUCACACUUAGCAGUGUGAAUAAUCCUGAAACAGUUUUACUUUUUCCAUAUUUUAGCAGGAAAACAAUGGAAAACACAUGAGUUCGACCUCAACUUAGAAAUGGCUGUAGUUUCAGUAGCCUAGAGCAAAAUAUAUUUUUCUCUAUUUGUUGGUAGUACCAUGAGAUGACUCAUGUUUGAUCACCCAGUUUGCAUUAAUAUUCACACAGAUUCUCUUAGUGUAACUUCCACUCUUCUCUCCUUUGCCAUGUAUGCUGAAAUCCUUGUGAUGUUUGGAGCUGCUCUGAGAAAAGAAUUGGACUAGAGACAUUGAGAGAGGUCCCUAAAUUAUUCUACAAUACUACGGCUUCCAGGAGGAUUUGCUCCAUAAUCUUCCCAAGGACUCCAGUGUUGCUGACCAGCCUGUAGCUCCCCAGACCAUCCUUUUUGCCUGUCUUGAACAUGCAUGUAAUGUUUGCCAGCCAUCAGGAAGCUCCCAUGGUUGUUCUGACCUUUUAAAGAUCAGAGAUGGUGUUUUUGCAAUGACAUUGGCUGGCUCCCUCAGCAGCCAUGGAUGCAAGAGAUUCU
Molecule: long non-coding RNA, 2794 nt
Organism: Cygnus atratus (black swan)
Lineage: Eukaryota; Metazoa; Chordata; Aves; Anseriformes; Anatidae
Exons: 8
Source: RefSeq, a predicted model, not a curated record